This 326-nucleotide long non-coding RNA is filed under the name Mustela putorius furo (domestic ferret). RNAcentral's name for it is "lncRNA (ENSMPUG00000023816.1)". Lineage: Eukaryota; Metazoa; Chordata; Mammalia; Carnivora; Mustelidae. The record is from RNAcentral.
UGUUACUGGUAUAUGUGCAAACAGUGAAUAAGAGGGUGAUAUGAAAUUGCAUUUAUUCUCUUCACUUCUUACCUCGAGAAUGCAAUUUCAGAACAGCCCCUGGAGAUGAGCUCCUUCAGGUAGCUGGGGUGAUGCACUGAGCAGGACGCAGUAUGCAGUUCUGAGCUUUCAAGCUUAGGAUCAGAGGCUAUGAGGCUCGGAGGCCCUGAGAAAUGAUCCAGUCACUGCUGCUCACUGCACAGAUGAGAAGGCUAAGGACCAGAGAGACUAAUGACCUGCCCUGCGUCACUCAGAUAGUAACAAAGGCAAAAGCAUUAGAAUCAUGC